AUUUUGAAGUUGGCUCGCUUUCGUAAUGCGAAGGUCGUAGGUUCGACUCCUAUUAUCGGCACCA
RNAcentral lists this transfer RNA (64 nucleotides) under Pantoea ananatis PA13. Its description in RNAcentral is "tRNA-Und (NNN) (tRNA-Und-NNN-2-1)". The record is from RNAcentral. Lineage: Bacteria; Pseudomonadati; Pseudomonadota; Gammaproteobacteria; Enterobacterales; Erwiniaceae.